Molecule: transfer RNA, 76 nt
Filed under: Alphaproteobacteria bacterium
Lineage: Bacteria; Pseudomonadati; Pseudomonadota; Alphaproteobacteria
Description: tRNA-Asn
Rfam family: tRNA
About the family: Transfer RNA (tRNA) molecules are approximately 80 nucleotides in length. Their secondary structure includes four short double-helical elements and three loops (D, anti-codon, and T loops). Further hydrogen bonds mediate the characteristic L-shaped molecular structure. tRNAs have two regions of fundamental functional importance: the anti-codon, which is responsible for specific mRNA codon recognition, and the 3' end, to which the tRNAs corresponding amino acid is attached (by aminoacyl-tRNA synthetases). tRNAs cope with the degeneracy of the genetic code in two manners: having more than one tRNA (with a specific anti-codon) for a particular amino acid; and 'wobble' base-pairing, i.e. permitting non-standard base-pairing at the 3rd anti-codon position.
Source: RNAcentral
UCCAGAGUAGCUCAGUUGGUAGAGCGUGCGGUUGUUACCCGCUUGGUCGUUGGUUCGAUUCCAGCCUCUGGAGCCA